GAUGAAGAACGUAGCGAAAUGCGAUAAGUAAUGUGAAUUGCAGAAUUCAGUGAAUCAUCGAAUUUUUGAACGCACAUUGCGCCCCCUGGUAUUCCGGGGGGCAUGCCUGUUCGAGCGUCAUUACAACCCUCAAGCUCUGCUUGGUAUUGGGCCCCGCCAGUUCUGGCGGGCCCUAAAGUCAGUGGCGGUGCCUUCCGGCUCCGAGCGUAGUAAUUCUUCUCGCUCUGGAGACCCGGUUGUGUGCUUGCCAACAACCCCCAAUUUUUUAAGGUUGACCUCGGAUCAGGUAGGGAUACCCGCUGAACUUAAGCAUAUCAAUAAGCGGAGGA
Molecule: unclassified non-coding RNA, 329 nt
Filed under: soil metagenome
Description: partial contains 5.8S ribosomal RNA, internal transcribed spacer 2, and large subunit ribosomal RNA
Rfam family: 5.8S ribosomal RNA (bases 1-120)
Source: RNAcentral